CGAAAUUGGUAGACGCUACGGACUUAAAAUCCGUCGACUUUCGAGAUCGUGAGGGUUCAAAUCCCUCUAUCCCCA
Molecule: transfer RNA, 75 nt
Filed under: Lepyrodia glauca
Lineage: Eukaryota; Viridiplantae; Streptophyta; Magnoliopsida; Poales; Restionaceae
Description: partial tRNA-Leu
Rfam family: tRNA
About the family: Transfer RNA (tRNA) molecules are approximately 80 nucleotides in length. Their secondary structure includes four short double-helical elements and three loops (D, anti-codon, and T loops). Further hydrogen bonds mediate the characteristic L-shaped molecular structure. tRNAs have two regions of fundamental functional importance: the anti-codon, which is responsible for specific mRNA codon recognition, and the 3' end, to which the tRNAs corresponding amino acid is attached (by aminoacyl-tRNA synthetases). tRNAs cope with the degeneracy of the genetic code in two manners: having more than one tRNA (with a specific anti-codon) for a particular amino acid; and 'wobble' base-pairing, i.e. permitting non-standard base-pairing at the 3rd anti-codon position.
Source: RNAcentral